RNAcentral lists this ribosomal RNA (253 nucleotides) under uncultured bacterium. RNAcentral's name for it is "partial 16S ribosomal RNA". It matches the Rfam family "Bacterial small subunit ribosomal RNA", at positions 524 to 776 of the family's 1533-position model. The record is from RNAcentral.
UACGGAGGGGGCUCGCGUUGUUCGGAAUUACUGGGCGUAAAGCGCACGUAGGCGGCUUUGUAAGUUAGAGGUGAAAGCCCGGGGCUCAACUCCGGAAUUGCCUUUAAGACUGCAUCGCUAGAAUUGUGGAGAGGUAAGUGGAAUUCCGAGUGUAGAGGUGAAAUUCGUAGAUAUUCGGAAGAACACCAGUGGCGAAGGCGACUUACUGGACACAUAUUGACGCUGAGGUGCGAAAGCGUGGGGAGCAAACAGG